GGGCCCGCACAAGCAGCGGAGCAUGUGGUUUAAUUCGACGCGACGCGAAGAACCUUACCUGGGCUUGACAUGUGAGUGACCGGUGUGGAAACACGCCUUCCCUUCGGGGCACUUUCACAGGUGGUGCAUGGCUGUCGUCAGCUCGUGUCGUGAGAUGUUGGGUUAAGUCCCGCAACGAGCGCAACCCCCGUCGCAUGUUGCCAGCAUUUAGUUGGGGACUCAUGCGAGACUGCCGGUGACAAACCGGAGGAAGGUGGGGAUGACGUCAAGUCCUCAUGCCCCUUAUGUCCAGGGCUACACACGUGCUACAUUGGCGCAUACAGAGGGUUGCGAUACCGCGAGGUGGAGCGAAUCCCUUAAAGUGCGUCUCGGUUCGGAUUGCAGGCUGAAAUUCGCCUGCAUGAAGGCGGAGUUGCUAGUAAUCGCGGAUCAGCACUGCCGCGGUGAAUACGUUCCCGGGCCUU
RNAcentral lists this ribosomal RNA (464 nucleotides) under uncultured bacterium. Its description in RNAcentral is "bacterial SSU rRNA". It matches the Rfam family "Bacterial small subunit ribosomal RNA", at positions 917 to 1382 of the family's 1533-position model. The record is from RNAcentral.